GUCUCGUUCUUGUUGAUCCUAUUAGUGGAUGGAGCUGAUAUAUCAGUUGGUCCUACUUCUGUUACUGUUCCUAUUUAUGAGACAGCAAGUUUUACUUGUGAAGGAACUGGCAAUGAACUGAAUUGGCUAGUUGGGGGGUUUACACUAACAGAAUCAGUUAAACAACAAAGAAACAUAUCUUUUACUGAUCCUGGUAGUGGUCCUGGUAACUUAUCAUCAGUACUUACUAUCAGUGGGUUACCUGUUAAUGAUGGAUUACAAAUUGGUUGUCAAAUAAUAUCAUAUCAACCUUUUAAACAAGUGUUCUCUGGUGGUACACUAACAAUAAGAGGAAUAUCACCAGUUGAAGACAUACAAUGGUCUAAUGAUGAUCAGUUCCUGUCAUGGUCUCCUCCUUCUUUCUAUUCUAAUGAUAUACC
This is a long non-coding RNA of Amphimedon queenslandica, 419 nucleotides long. RefSeq lists it as uncharacterized. The record is from RefSeq and is a predicted model, not a curated record. The transcript has 3 exons. NCBI's taxonomy places the organism in Eukaryota, Metazoa, Porifera, Demospongiae, Haplosclerida, Niphatidae.